UAUAUUCUUGUAAAUAAAUUUUCUAGUAUCAUAAAGAAAAUUUCCUAUUGUGAGAUUUUUUUUAAGAAAUAAGUAUCUUUUGAUAAUCACAUAAUUAGUUUCCUACAAGGAAUCUUAUCGUGUAAUUAGAAAAAUAUAUAAGAAGAUAUUUUGAUUAAAAAGUAUGAGUCUCUUUUUUGGUUUAGUUGAGAUUUUGAGAUUUGAGGGCUUUAGGGUUGUAAUCUUCUUCAAUAAUAAUAGAAAUUCUUCUUCUUCACCCAUGGAUGUAAGCUUUAGGUUAAACCAAGCUUUAGGUCAAACCACAUAAAUCAUAACAUGUUUUGUGUGUUUUCUGUUUUCAUAUUCUUAUUUUCUUUUCCCUCUUAUCUAAACUUCUCAAUUUCCCCAUUAUAUGUGAGAUCUCCCUAUCUUUCAACACCUAACUUACGAGGAUUUUAAAACUAAAAAAUUGACUCCAUAUACUUGGGGAAUUGCAGUUUUGCAUAUAUAUUUGGGAGCGAUCAAUAGGUUAAAGAGAAGUUCAGGGGUUAGGUUACCUAGUAAGAAGGUAUUAGGUGCCCACUAAGCCCAACAUGAGAAAAUGGAGGCAACUUUAAUAAGUGAUUGAUUUGAUAAAAAAAAUACAAAGUCAAAUUAAAAUAAUAAAAUUAGUUUUCUCUAGCUAUUUGUGACUUUUGACAUGGUGGUGGAAGAAAGAAAUGCAUACAAAUAUGAAUAAUCACAUGGAUAAUCAAGUAAGAGGUUGUGGACAAGGAAUAUGAUGAGAUAUUUGCUCUCAUUGCUUAUUUAGAAAGUAUAAGAUUAAUCAUCUCUUUGGCUACUAAAAAUAACUGGAAGAUUUUUCAAAUUAAUGUGAAAUAUGUCUUUUUAAAUGGACAUCUUGAAGAAAAAGUGUAUAUGGAACAACCCAUGGAUUCUGUGUUAAGAUAAAACCCUUAAAAUAUGACAUUAUGUAAUAAAAUUUUGGAUUUUAUUUGUUUAAUAAAGUUUCGAUUCACUUUUAUCUAUCAUAUUUCCAUGCAUCAUAUCUUGUAAACACUUUAAUCUGCAUCUUUUGCAUUGUACAUGAUUUUGGUGCAUUAGAAGUUACAUGAAAAAUCUAAGUCAUGAGUUCUUUGCAAAUAGAUGAUUGUUCACAAUCGGUUCAUGGGUCUAGGCAACCCAUUAGAGGUUGUAGUGCACCACCUCCUAAUUGGAUGGAUGGUUGGUCUUGGCUAUCAUGAUAGAUUUCUCAUGGUGAGUGCACUAGUAUGUAUGAUUACACAUUGGAUACAACCUAUGAUGAGUCAUGACUUAACGUUAUCAAGUAUUCAUGACCUUACCAAAUUGUUUCAUUGUGUUGUUUCUUAAUUUUGACAAAAUAAGUUUGUGCUGAAAUUAACAGUGGCUUUGACCUAUGGGUGAGAUUAUAAGUUGAUUAUAUAUUAUUUAUAGAUUGAGUCAUUGUUAAUGAAAGUUAAUAGCAAUAGGUAUUCUCAAUAGAGACACCAUGAUAUCUUUUAGGAUUGAGACAGUGUGUUUCCUUAGAAGAUCCUAAGGAAAUGUGUCAUGGAAACUAUGACUAUAGUAGUUCCUUAAGUAGAACUUGACAUAUGCUCUUGAAGAGCUAAAACAUGUCAAUUGAAUACAUAAUAAAAGGACUUGUAACUCAAGGAUAGUAGAGAUAGUCUUGAAAAACAAAUAGUAUUCACCUUAAUUAUUAGACUACGGACACCGGUUCAUGGGGAGAUUGAAUGCAAUAGAUAAUAGGUCACAGACCUGAGCAUUUGGCAUCUCGUUGUUAUUUACAGAGGAUACUAAAAUUUAGUUGAUUCUUUAUAGUGGAAUGUUAAAUCAACUUUAUAAUUGGCUUUUGAAAGAGUCAGUACUCUUAUAAGUCCUAUUGCUCCUCGUUUUGAGCUCAUAUACCUUGUUGGUAUGGGUUAUGAGGGUUGGAUCAACUUUAGGUUCACAUUUUUGCAUAAGGGUGUUUUGGUAAUUACACAAGGUUGCACAAGGGGAAGUAAGUAAGGUUUCUGGAUUGAGUUAAAUGAGUAAUUAUAAUUAAUAACCCUUGUUGGGUUAAUUAAUCAAUUAGGACCCAUUUUGGGCUAAAUUAAGUGACCCAAGCUCUUAGUGGACUCAAGUCACUUAAACCUAUUGGGGAACCCUAAAUACCUCCUUAAGGGUUAGGGUUUCCAUAACUUCUUCUAGAGAGUCAUUUUCCACUUCUAAAGAGAGAGAACAAUAGCUUUCACCAUCUCUUUCAUUUCCAUCGGAAGUGUGUCAAGAUCAAGGUUCAAGUUAUCAAGAGGAAUACUUUGGGUUUACAAGACUUCCUGGGACUUUCAUUCUUCAUCUUCAUCGUGUGGAUUCAAUUUGGGAACAUCCGAAUCUAAUGUAUGUUGUUCGUUAGUACUUUCUGAAUCCCUUAAAUUUUAAAAAUGCAAUUUUUCCACCGUGUAUAGGAUUUAGAAAAGCUUAAGAUAGUUUUACAUGUUUCUAACCUAAUCCGGACUUGGGAAAUGUAGAAAUCUUGGAUUUUCCCUUCAUUAUGUGGUGAAAGGGCACAAGAAUAAGGUUUUAAAUUUAAAAAGAGUCAUGUAUGGAUUAAUUAAAAAAAAAAAACAGCAAGAGCAUAGGAAUAGUAAAACUAACAAAUAUUUUUAAGAUAAUCAUUUUAUUAAAUACCUUCAUAAACAUGCUCUCUAUAUAAAGGUGAAUGAAAAAGGUAAUAUUUAUUACUUGUUUGCUUGUAUGUGGAUUAUUUGAUCUUCAUUAAAAAUAAUUCAAUCAUAUUUGGUGAAUUCAAUAAGUAAUGGCUCGAGAGUUUGAGAUAACUGACAUUGAUCUCAUCUCAUACUAUCUUGGCAUAGAAAUGAAACAAACUAAAAUGGUACUUUUAUAUCUUAAGAAGGCUAUGCAAAAAAACAAAAAAACAAUCUCUAGAAGUUUGAUAUGAACAUGUGUAAUUCGAUGUACACAUAAUAGAAUAUGGAGUUAAAUUAUCUAAGACAUGAAGAAAAUAUGCAUCCAACAUAAUACAAAAGUUUAGUUAGAAGCUGACGUUGUUUGACUUAUACAAGGUCAGACAUUCCUUUUGGAGUUGGACUUGCUAGUCGUUAUAUAAAAACACCAAUAGUGACUCACAUGAAAAUUGUUAAAUGAAUUCUUUACUACAUUGAAGGUAUACUUGAUUAUAGUUUAUUUUAUAACUCCUAACCAUUUUAAGCUUAUUAGAUAUAGUGAUAGUGAUUGGGGCAGAGACUUGGAUGAUUGAAAGAAAACCAGUGACUUUGUGUUUUUAUGGGAGGUUCCACAUUCACUUGCACCUCAAAGAGGCUAUUUAUUGUGAUACUUUUAACUUGUGAAAAGGAAUUUCUUUCAACAAUAUCAUGUGCAUGUCAUGCAAUUUGGCUAAAAAAUUUGUUGAAGGAACUGAAUUUUCCACAAAAUAAACCAAAAAAGAUAUAUGUGGACAACAAAUCAACGAUUACAUCAUCAGAACAUCCCAUUUUCCAUGACGAAGCAAAUACAUCGAGAUAAUAUAUCAUUUUAUUAUAUAGUGCAUUAUGAAGAAAGAAGUGUAAUUAAAAUUGAUCAAAUUUCAAGAUCAAAUUUACAGACAUUUUUACUAAAUCUCUCAAAUUUAAAGAUUUUAAAAGGUUAAAAAUGCUACUUGGAGUUACAAAUCAAGUUUAAGAGGGCAUGUUGGAAAGUUAAACUUGAUUUAGAAAUUUUUAAAAAAUUACAAUUCAAUUUAGUUUCCAAAAGUCAAAGGAAAUAUUUUAUUUUGAGUGGUUACUGUAGUUUGUAUAUUUAAAUACUUUGUAAUUGUUUAUAUUCAUUUUUCAACCCCAUUACUCCAAUAGAUGGCAUACAUAAAGCUAUGUCUUUGGAUUAAUAUUAGAGCUGCCUCUAAUUCUAAUGUGUUCAACUUCAUUAGACAAGGUUAUGUCGAUCAUCAUAUCCACAUAGUUACCUACAACAUUUUAUUGCAGUGCAUGCACAUGUCUUCAAUGGCUGUAUGCAUAAUACUAGUUUUUGCAAUAUGGGGUUGAAACAUGACUAGUUGUUAUAUACAAAGAAAUAAAUAAUCUAUACUUUUAAUAAUUUUAAUAUAGAUUUAUUUACUAUAUAAAUAUACUGGUAUUUAUGUAUAGCAUUUUCCGCAAAUAGUAGCCUCAAUUCUUGCCCAGAUUCACAUUCCAUUGUCAGCAGAGAAAAGGGACAAUUCCAUCUGAAUUGGGAAUAGAUCAUCAGAAAGGAAGAAACAGAAACAAUUCUAUCAUUAAUCAAUCAAACUGGUAAUACAUAGUACUUCUGGAUCGUAUAUAUAUAAUCCAACACUUGAAACCACCGACUCCAAAUCAACCUCCUUCAUACAUACUAAGCCUUAGAUACAAUGCCUGUUGAGCUUGUUGAGCUUCUUCUCAGUUUCAAGGGCCUGGUGGGUGGUAGGGGCUGUGUGGUGGACUGUAUGGACUUUUAUAUAUUUUGGGGCUGGGUGGUGGAUAGUGUGGGCUUUUAUAUAUUUUGGGGCUGGGUGGUGGACUGUAUGGGCUUUUAUAUAUUUUGGGGCUGGGUGGUGGAUUGUGUGGCCUUUUAUAUAUUUUGGGGCUGGGAGGUGGAAUGCGUGGGCUUUUAUAUAUUUUGGGGCUGGGUGGUGGACUGUGUGGGCUUUUAUAUAUUUUGGGGCUGGGUGGUGGAUUGUGUGGGCUUUUAUAUAUUUUGGGGCUGGGAGGUGCAAUGUGUGGGCUUUUAUAUAUUUUGGGGCUGGGAGGUGGAAUGUGUGGGCUUUUAUAUAUUUUGGGGCUGGGUGGACUUUUAUGCAUUCUUUUACAGUCCCUUGAUCCGGGAUUGCACAUGCUUGUAGAUGGUGGAUCAGGUAAAUUCCCUGCUAUAAAGCCCACCUUAUCGCUACUCAUUUCUUCUGCAACAUCCAUGCCAAAUAUUAUCAUAAAUCACAAAGAGGCAAAAACAGCAGCCCAUGCAUGACAGUAUAUUAAAUGGGAAAAUUGUGUACUAGCCUCCAAUCAUA
Molecule: long non-coding RNA, 5020 nt
Filed under: Vitis vinifera (wine grape)
Lineage: Eukaryota; Viridiplantae; Streptophyta; Magnoliopsida; Vitales; Vitaceae
Description: long non-coding RNA (VVIN_LNC004765)
Source: RNAcentral